RNAcentral lists this ribosomal RNA (439 nucleotides) under uncultured Paenibacillus sp. Its description in RNAcentral is "bacterial SSU rRNA". It matches the Rfam family "Bacterial small subunit ribosomal RNA", at positions 358 to 790 of the family's 1533-position model. The record is from RNAcentral. Lineage: Bacteria; Bacillati; Bacillota; Bacilli; Caryophanales; Paenibacillaceae.
GGAAUCUUCCGCAAUGGACGCAAGUCUGACGGAGCAACGCCGCGUGAGUGAUGAAGGUUUUCGGAUCGUAAAGCUCUGUUGCCAGGGAAGAACGUCCGGGUUAGUAACUGAACUCGGAGUGACGGUACCUGAGAAGAAAGCCCCGGCUAACUACGUGCCAGCAGCCGCGGUAAUACGUAGGGGGCAAGCGUUGUCCGGAAUUAUUGGGCGUAAAGCGCGCGCAGGCGGCUUUUUAAGUCCGGUGUCACAGCCCAAGGCUCAACCUUGGGUCGCACUGGAAACUGGAGAGCUUGAGUACAGAAGAGGAAAGUGGAAUUCCACGUGUAGCGGUGAAAUGCGUAGAGAUGUGGAGGAACACCAGUGGCGAAGGCGACUUUCUGGGCUGUAACUGACGCUGAGGCGCGAAAGCGUGGGGAGCAAACAGGAUUAGAUACCCUUG